This 715-nucleotide ribosomal RNA is filed under the name uncultured bacterium. RNAcentral describes it as "bacterial SSU rRNA". It matches the Rfam family "Bacterial small subunit ribosomal RNA", at positions 401 to 1107 of the family's 1533-position model. The record is from RNAcentral.
GAGUGAUGAAGGUCUUCGGAUCGUAAACUCUGUUGUUAGGGAAGAAUAAGUAUCGACCGAAUAAGUCGGUACCUUGACGGUACCUAACCAGAAAGCCCCGGCUAACUACGUGCCAGCAGCCGCGGUAAUACGUAGGGGGCAAGCGUUGUCCGGAAUUAUUGGGCGUAAAGGGCGCGCAGGCGGUCUUUUAAGUCUGAUGUGAAAUCUCGUAGCUUAACUACGAGCGGUCAUUGGAAACUGGAAGACUUGAGGACAGAAGAGGAGAGUGGAAUUCCACGUGUAGCGGUGAAAUGCGUAGAGAUGUGGAGGAACACCAGUGGCGAAGGCGACUCUCUGGUCUGUAACUGACGCUGAGGCGCGAAAGCGUGGGGAGCGAACAGGAUUAGAUACCCUGGUAGUCCACGCCGUAAACGAUGAGUGCUAGGUGUUAGGGGGUUUCCGCCCCUUAGUGCUGCAGUUAACGCAUUAAGCACUCCGCCUGGGGAGUACGGCCGCAAGGCUGAAACUCAAAAGAAUUGACGGGGGCCCGCACAAGCGGUGGAGCAUGUGGUUUAAUUCGAAGCAACGCGAAGAACCUUACCAGGUCUUGACAUCCCUUUGAUCGUCCUAGAGAUAGGGCUUUCCCUUCGGGGACAAAGGUGACAGGUGGUGCAUGGUUGUCGUCAGCUCGUGUCGUGAGAUGUUGGGUUAAGUCCCGUAACGAGCGCAACCCUUA